AUUGAACGCUUGCGGCAUGCCUUACACAUGCAAGUCGAACGGCAGCAUGUAGAGCUUGCUCUCUGACGGCGAGUGGCGAUCGGGUGAGUAAUGCAUCGGAACGUACCGGGUAAUGGGGGAUAACGUAGCGCAAGUUACGCUCAUACCGCCUACGUCCUGAGGGUGGAAGCAGGGGAUGGCAAGACCUUGGGUUAUACGAGCGGCCGAUGUCAGAUUAGCGAGUUGGUGAGGUAAAGGCUCACCAAGGCGACGAUCUGUAGCGGGUCUGAGAGGAUGAUCCGCCACACUGGGACUGAGACACGGCCCAGACUCCUACGGGAGGCAGCAGUGGGGAAUUUUGGACAAUGGGGGCAACCAUGAUCCAGCCAUGCCGCGUGAGUGAAGAAGGCCUUCGGGUUGUAAAGCUCUUUCGGCCGGGAAGAAAUCGCACAGGCUAAUACUCUGUGUGGAUGACGGUACCGGCAUAAGAAGCACCGGCUAACUACGUGCCAGCCGCCGCGGUAA
This 504-nucleotide ribosomal RNA is filed under the name uncultured bacterium. RNAcentral's name for it is "partial 16S ribosomal RNA". It matches the Rfam family "Bacterial small subunit ribosomal RNA", at positions 30 to 523 of the family's 1533-position model. The record is from RNAcentral.